UUUGUUCGGUAUGCACAUAUAGCACCGGCACCGCCGCUGCGUACCAGUGUAACCGGGAGAAGGAGAGACCGGGGGUGGGCGGGUGGCGCCAGAGGGCUUGCUCGUCCAACGCCGCGCGCCAGAGGGCGCUGCCUGGCGUCGCUGCGUCCUCGGCCGCUGCGUCGACGUUGCUGUACCCUCCAGUACAGGCGGCGUGUCCUCGGGGUAACCAAUGGCCGGCGCCUAGAACGGCGAUCUCCACCGCGGCGGCACCGGUAGCACGACCAGCCGCGUCGAAUGCUGCAUCCGAGAGGUGGAGGACGCCGUCGUCGCCAAACGCCGAGAAGCAUGUCCAUUGAUUACUGCUGUGGACGGGAAUAUGGCUAAUCGAAUCGGCGGCAUUCUUCUCUUCUCCUGUGGCCAUUUCUCAGCGGAGAGCAAAAGUGCUGAUAACGUGUUAGAGAGAAUCGAGAGAGAGGAGCGAAUGGAAAACAGAUAUAUGAAUGAACAGUUAUUCUAUUGAUUGAAGAUUGGGGUAUUUAUACCCAGUUUACAAGGCGGUUACAAAAGGAGGCAGUUGCCAAAAGUGGCACCGACAUAGCAGUGAUUAAUAGUUAAUUAACCUAAUUAAUUAAUUCCUAACACAUCCAACCCAUCUAUCGUCGCGCAAUGAGCGAUCUCUGGUUGUGUCCACGUCGGCAGGGUGGUACUGUUCGUGCUGGCCAAUUGGAAGGGAACGUUCCCUUCAUAGAAAAAAAAAAGGCGUGGUCGUUUCCUUCCUCGAGAAGACAGAGAGAGGACGCACGCCACCUCCUCCCCACCUUCGCCAGAUACGACCGCCCAUUCAUCGCCGCCACCCAUCGCGUCGCCCGCCCGCGACCUUCUCUCAUCUUCCACCCGCGACGGCUUCCCGUCCACCUUGAGAUGUACGGCGACGGCGUCCCGAUGGAGAACCCUGGCCGCAGCAGGUCGCCGGCGCUCCUCCGCUGCGCGCCCCAGGUGACCCCCACGGAUCCGCGGCGACCACCGAGCAGGACGAGGACGACGACACCCCGCACAUGGUCGAGCUCGACGGAAGAAGGUGCCUUUGUCGCUGUGGUCUUCGCCGGUGUGCUCCACGUCGUGUACGACGGCGACCUCCUAGCUCGGGCUCUUCGUCAAGUUGGUGAUGUUGCCUAGAGUAUCCCGACGACGACGGAGGAGGAGAACAAGGACCACCGCCCCCUAAGGGCUGACGAGAACCAACACCUUCAAGCCGCCAUGGAGCUCCCAUCCCUCCCCUGGAGUGCGUCAAGGUCCUUCUUCCCCUCCCCGCAGCAUGUAUCUCUCCUACUCCAUCAACUCUUGCUGUUCGUGAUGAUAAAUCCCAGCGUUUCUUGCUUUUUUCUGUUAUUAGAGAGUAGGAAACGUUGACACUUUAGGAAUUGCCAUUGUUAUUUACGCAUAGCAAGGAAUCCUGCCAAGAGAGCCUUGGUGAUGGGGUCACAAAGGACAGCAGCAGCAGAAAGAACAUUAACACCUCUAUCUGAAAAACAUCACUAAUUGUUAGCUUUUGGUAGGAAGACAUGUACGUAACCUAAGAUCAGAGUUUAACUAGAUAUAUAUACAACCUAAAGCAAAUCAAGGUUCAGAGAGGCACACUUACCUUUGGCAGCAGCUUUUUCUUGCUGUUGAUGUUGAUGAACACAGCAGUCACACGAAUAGAUAAAGCAUACAUAGAAGGAGAAGCUGUCCAAUAAAACUGAUGCAUGUUGACAGUUCCUCGAGUUCUCUUAAGAUGAUAUAAUUGUUUGGUAGACGCAUGGAUGGAUGGACACGUACAGCUAGCAGCCUAGCAGUGCUAGUCACAAAAGAAAAACCUUGUGAUUGAUUCAUGGUCAUGGCACAACAACAAUGGAUACUUGCUAAUUGGUGAUGGUGGUCGUGCCGCUGCCGCCUUCGGCACCAUCCCAGCUCGCAGCCUCAGUCGAUUUGCUCUGCGUCUCCAACCGUCCAAAGAUCCCAACCCUAUCAUCGUCUCCUACCACGAGCUCGGCAACGAGAUCGGACAUGGCAAGUUCGGCUCCGUUCGGAUCUAUGGUAGGAAGACCUGUGAAAUCCAACUCGCCGUUAGGCCUUUUCUGUCGCCUUCUCUCUGGUGGUCUUGGUUGUUGACCAUGGUUGCCUUGUUUUUGUGCUCGUACAACCGUUCAAGAGGUUCGUGCUGAUCGGGUGGGUGGCCCUGGUGAACUACGGCAAGGACUACGGCCGCCUCGUCGUCAUCGUCGACGUUGUUGACCAGAACAGGAACGUCGAGGACACGGUCCACCGCGAGGUCGAGAUCAUGCAACACCUCUCGGGCCACCCCGCCGUCGUCACGCUGAAGGCCAUCUGCGGUGGUUGCAAAUCGAAGCCUGAAAGGGACAAGGCGGUUGGGAGUCAGGGACUACAUAUCCCUCCUCUCCUUGAUUUUCUGUCCAAAAUAUAAGGAAGACGUAUGGGUUCUCGUCAAAUGCAAGCUGUACUACUGUGAAAAAGUGUACUAAUUUUUGCAGUGCAUUAACUUGAUCAUGGGAUUCUCCGUGAUGGCAGCAAAGAGACAACAUGGGGUGGAGAUGCAGGUCGUCAGUACACUGAAGGCGUUGCGUUCUGUCAGGGCGUUGGGUCCGAUGCAGAGCAUCGGAGACGUUGCCGUUGUCCUUGCACGACUCAUCAGAUCCAACCUCGGGCCCGCGCCAGCUAUGUACGGAGCCCUCGAUACGGUGCUCAGUCUCUGCAACUGCAACUUGAUGCCUUGCAUGAAGCUGCCAGCUAUUGAGGCCCUCUCUUAAUUACCCAGUUCUGAGUGGAGUCAGUUGGGGUCGUCUAUAAAUUUUCUUGUGAUGUGCUUGCAAACCAAGACUUUGUUGAGGCUUUUCUGCGGGGUCAGGGGAGACACCAGUGAUCAAGCGGCAGCGGCCUACAGCCUGGGAGACCUGCACAAGGGAGCCGCCAAGAUCUCCAACGACAUCCUCGACUCUGUCGGGGUUUCAGUAUAUGCAACAACAAAAAAUUCGACAACAGUAUACGCGAAAAAUGGUGCUAUUUGCGUUUGCUGCAAUCUCCUCAUACUUACCAAGGGUUGAGUGCCCAACAUUCCCGAAGAUGGCACCCGAGACGUGUCCGCAGCCAGAAGCAGCGAAGUUGCCGUACAAGAAGCUGGGAGAUUCAGAUCUCCUUAUUAGCGAGAUAACUCUUGGAACAAUGAUCUUUGGAUAGCAAAGAACAGAGAAGGAAUCCCAUGAUAUGCUCUCUUAUUCUUUUAAUCAGGGCAUCAACAUACUGGACACCGCAGAAAUUGCCGGAGACUCAAGGGAGGACUGAUCUAUAUGUAGGCAGGUGGAUGAAAUCCAAGCCACGAGACAAAGUACCCUAAACCGGCCUUAUAAUUUAUUUGCAGUUUUCUAAUCCAUUUGGAGUUCCCCGAUUCCCACUUCAGAUAGCAUGCUUCUGAAUCCAUUUGUCGUUCCCAGCUCACUAUAUUUCCGACUAGACAACUUUAGCCACCAAAAUUUCUGGUUAUUCAGAUCACACUUUUCAUCGGUACAAUGCAGAAAGGUGUGUGUUGAUGAUCCCAUUAUAAAGGAAAGUGUCGAAAAGAGCCUUUCAUGCUUAUCUAAAGACUACACUGAUUUUCUUUACAUACACUAGGUAGUGUUUAUUUCAAAGAUUAUUUUUGCUCAGAAUAAUUUUCACAUCUUGUUCCAGAUUGAUUCAUACACAAUCAUAUUUCACAUUUUGCAUUUCCUUACUGAACUUGAAAAUUGUAAAUCUGAGUUCUCUUUUCCAUCCUCUGUGAGUCCUUUUGUCGUCUUAUACAGACUGUUUUCAGCACACAUUCUUCAUGUUAAUUCUUUCAUUUUUCACAUAGAAUUUUUCAUACUUUGUUUGUAUUAAUAUGUCAUCAUUAUUAUUUUAUUUGACAAAAAAGACAACUUUGGCUCCAAAGUUUGCUUUAUGUCUUCAGGCUAGAUAGGUAUGUCGCACGUUACGGUGAAUUCAGUUACAAUUCAACCAAAUGGAGGCCAAGCGUCCCAUGUGUGGAUCAAUGGAAAGCUUUCAGGAACUAAUUGGUAAAGGGAAGGUACAAUAUAUCGGUGUUUCCAAUGAAACCACGUACGGAGUAAUGCAGUUUGUACAUGCUGCAAAGCUUGAUGGACUUCCAAAGAUUAUGAGCAUCUAGAAUGGUUAUAGUCAACUUGUGAGAUACAGCUUCGAAGGUGAAACAGAGAUGUCAGCCAUAAUUUAUUCAUUUUCAUUCACUGGAAUUCCAUGCCAUCCCUGUUGUUCUGAAACUUAUUUGCAGACAUGUAAUUUAGAGAAAGAGGGAGGAAAGAACUCCUCGGUUGUAGUUCAGAUCAUCGGCCUGCUGUCAUCUCUUUCAUAAUUAAAAUUUUAGUCGAAUAGUUAUGUUUAGUGGUUAUCAUUCAUCAUCAUCAUGAGAUGAUUUCAUUUUGUGGAUGCUUGAGUUUAGAAAAUUUAGGCUCUGCAGUCCAUCAUCUCUAUAGGUAUAAGUCUUUGUAGGAUGUAAGACUGCUACUCUAUGUUCAUAUAAGCCUACCUAUUAAUAAUAUUUCCGAUUUAUUUUAUAAA
Triticum aestivum (bread wheat) is the source of this 4590-nucleotide long non-coding RNA. RefSeq lists it as uncharacterized. The transcript is spliced from 13 exons. The record is from RefSeq and is a predicted model, not a curated record. NCBI's taxonomy places the organism in Eukaryota, Viridiplantae, Streptophyta, Magnoliopsida, Poales, Poaceae.